GUGCCAGCCGCCGCGGUAAUACCGGCAGCUCAAGUGAUGUCCCAUAUUAUUGGGCCUAAAGCGUCCGUAGCUGGCCAGACAAGUCCGUUGGGAAAUCCACGCGCUCAACGCGUGGGCGUCCAGCGGAAACUGUCCGACUUGGGGCCGAACGACCCGAGGGGUACGUCCGGGGUAGGAGUGAAAUCCUGUAAUCCUGGACGGACCGCCGGUGGCGAAAGCGCCUCGGGAGGACGGACCCGACGGUGAGGGACGAAAGCCAGGGUCUCGAACCGGAUUAGAAACCCGGGUAGUCC
This 293-nucleotide ribosomal RNA is filed under the name uncultured bacterium. Its description in RNAcentral is "partial 16S ribosomal RNA". It matches the Rfam family "Archaeal small subunit ribosomal RNA", at positions 455 to 747 of the family's 1478-position model. The record is from RNAcentral.